GGAAACUGAGGAUCCUGUACCCAGACGUACUGCUGUUGAACUACAGAAAUGCUCUCAGAAUGUGAUUCCUGUUUCUACGACAUCCAGAAGACAGUUGCUUUCUCUUUGUAGAAGCAAAAGAUCAGAGGAGGAAACUAUCAACAGAAGGACAUGAAAAUACACUUUAAAUUAUUUUUUCAUAUAAAUGGGUUUUGAAUAUAGUAAUAACUUCCUGGGAAACAAGAAGGCUUAAGGAGUUAUCAUGAACAAUGCAGUCAAUGCCUCUUCUGGGUGUUUAACAGAAAAAAGAACUUGUUCAGCUGCACAUGAGAAGUCCUUAUAUGAGACUGCUAGAGUAAGAGGAAAGGAUCUUUCUCAGAGGCAGAGGGUGCAGAUGACCUCAUGCUGA
RNAcentral lists this long non-coding RNA (388 nucleotides) under Chloebia gouldiae (Gouldian finch). Its description in RNAcentral is "Erythrura gouldiae (Gouldian finch) lncRNA (ENSEGOG00005000238.1)". Lineage: Eukaryota; Metazoa; Chordata; Aves; Passeriformes; Passeridae. The record is from RNAcentral.